GGAGGAACUCAACACAACUCUGGAGAGCUCUGGGAGUCAAUGCAAUGGAGGUUUUGCAGCAGAAGGUUUCGAACCGUUCGGUCUGGCGGCUGGCAAGGCACAGUUGAAGAGAAUACAAAACGGGGUUAAAUCGUGAGAGCAAGAUCUACUGGCUGCAAGCAAAGGUGUACAGAUAUUCAGGGUCUGAGAGUUCAACAUCAAAAGGACCACUGUUAGGAUUAAAAGAAAAAAAACUACAGGUUUCAGCAAAGACUACUGAUUGCCAAGAGUUGAUGCUAACAGCCCUUCGAUUGAACAACAAUCAAUGGCAAGCUGAACGCUUUGUUUGGAACAUGCGGCAUCGGUGAGAGCGGUCCCCGUGCGGAAAGGCAGACGAAGAUGGCGCAGGGAGGCCGAGUGAAUGUUGAAGGAGGAGAGAUCCAGCAGAACCAAUGCCAGGACGGAGGCCACCCCAGCUCAAGGUCUCCCGGUGAGUGAGGAGCAGGCCCCAGACAGACCCGCAGACUGAGCCAGGGCUCCAGGUCCAUCAAAGCAUGAGCUGUUCCCAAGAGCAUCUACCGUUACUGAGAUCAGACUCUAAGGUGAUCUCUACUGUUUUAUUUUUCUGGCUUUAUGUUCUGUGUUUCUGGUUUCUUUUCUUUGCUUUAAGAUGGCAAUAAAUACAUGUGAUAAUAAAUAAUUCAAAUCAA
Molecule: long non-coding RNA, 689 nt
Organism: Hemiscyllium ocellatum (epaulette shark)
Lineage: Eukaryota; Metazoa; Chordata; Chondrichthyes; Orectolobiformes; Hemiscylliidae
Exons: 3
Source: RefSeq, a predicted model, not a curated record